CCGGCAAAUACCAUUUCACAAGCAACUAUUAUACACAUUUACAAAAUAAAUACAACUUUCCAUAUCUGUACCGAGUUGAAAUCAUCAUCUGGACAACAUUAUUUUUCUACAGUCCUAUCAUAUACAUACUACAGUUGCUAGAAAAUCCCAAUGCCCAAUCUGACCUAUGAAAACAAUUUAGAUAAAUCAGAACCCUUAGCUUGCAACACCAAUUUCACUUCAGAACUUGUUGUCGCCUUUCACACCAUUGCACUACUUCAUUCAUUACUUAAUAAGAACAUGCCGUUUAAAUGAAGAAACCACAUCUACUAUUUUGCUUCUCAGAUAUGAUGCUGGAUUGCAGGGGUUAACACCAAAUGUCAGCCAGCUGUGAUUAGCCACUAUCAUGUUCUAAAUAUAUGAUGACGUGCCAAAACUUCUGGUAUUCUCGAGGCAGGAAGGCUUUGGCAACCAAAGAGUUCUUGAAGUUUUGCAUCACAUAGUAUCACCAUUGGAUUACGGGGAUCCUCCAAAUUGUUGACAUUUAUGUAUUCCCACAAUCGUGUGAAGACCUCUGAUUGGAGCAUUUCUUUCACGCCAACACCAAAAAAAUUUGCAAGUCCUUCAGAAAUUGCUACAGAAGGAGCAGAUAUAGUUUGUUUCUCUGCAGUCUCCUCAUCCAUCUUUUGCUUCUUAGAACCCAGCUGUUUGGUGGGUUCGAGAGGAAUGAUAUGUUUAGCCAGCAGCUU
RNAcentral lists this unclassified non-coding RNA (728 nucleotides) under Hevea brasiliensis (rubber tree). The record is from RNAcentral. Lineage: Eukaryota; Viridiplantae; Streptophyta; Magnoliopsida; Malpighiales; Euphorbiaceae.